AAGGUUUCCAGAGUAAAGCUGAUCUGCUCUGGGUAAGUCGGGGCCUAAGGCGAGGUCGAAAGACGUAGUCGAUGGAUAACAGGUAAAGAUUCCUGUACUGUAUCAUAACAGAACUGUGGGGACGCAGACAGAGAGCAUAAGCCGGGAAUGGAAAGACCGGUACAAGCGAGGUAGGAGUGCAUCAGGCAAAUCCGGUGCACAAUCUGAAGACGUGAUGUGGGGCGUAAAGCCGGAAGUAUGUGAGCUGGCUGCCAAGAAAAGCCGCUAUUGUUUAUGAUAUACCCGUACCGUAAACCGACACAGGUGGAUGAGGAGAGAAUCCUAAGGCCGACGGGAGAAGCAUUGUUAAGGAACUCGGCAAAAUGACUCCGUAACUUCGGGAGAAGGAGUGCCAUGUAAAAGUGGCCGCAGAGAAUUGGCCCAAGCAACUGUUUAGCAAAAACACAGGUCUAUGCAAAACCGAAAGGUGAGGUAUAUGGGCUGACGCCUGCCCGGUGCUGGAAGGUUAAGGGGAGAGGUUAGCCGUAAGGCGAAGCUUUGAACUUAAGCCCCAGUAAACGGCGGCCGUAACUAUAACGGUCCUAAGGUAGCGAAAUUCCUUGUCGGGUAAGUUCCGACCCGCACGAAAGGCGUAACGAUUUGGGCACUGUCUCAACAACAGACUGGGUGAAAUUGUAAUACCGGUGAAGAUGCCGGUUACCUGCGACAGGACGGAAAGACCCCAUGGAGCUUUACUGUAGCUUGACAUUGAGUCUCGGUGCUACAUGUACAGGAUAGGUGGGAGACUAUGAAGCAUGGACGUCAGUCUGUGUGGAGUCAUCCUUGGGAUACCACCCUUGUAGUACUGGGAUUCUAACCAGCUGCCUUGAAUCAGGUAGUGGGACACUGUCAGGUGGACAGUUUGACUGGGGCGGUCGCCUCCUAAAAAGUAACGGAGGCGCUCAAAGGUUCUCUCAGUACGGUCGGAAAUCGUACGUAGAGUGUAAAGGCAGAAGAGAGCUUGAUUGCAAGACAUACAGGUCGAGCAAGGACGAAAGUCGGACUUAGUGAUCCGGUGGUUCCGCAUGGAAGGGCCAUCGCUCAACGGAUAAAAGCUACCCUGGGGAUAACAGGCUGAUCUCCCCCAAGAGUCCACAUCGACGGGGAGGUUUGGCACCUCGAUGUCGGCUCAUCACAUCCUGGGGCUGUAGUAGGUCCCAAGGGUUGGGCUGUUCGCCCAUUAAAGUGGUACGCGAGCUGGGUUCAGAACGUCGUGAGACAGUUCGGUCCCUAUCCGUCGCAGGCGUAGGAAAUUUGAGGAGACCUGUCCUUAGUACGAGAGGACCGGGAUGGACGUACCGCUGGUGUACCAGUUGUUCUGCCAAGGGCAUAGCUGGGUAGCUAAGUACGGAAAGGAUAAGCGCUGAAAGCAUCUAAGCGCGAAGCCCACUUCAAGAUAAGAUUUCCCACCGCAAGGUUAAGAUCCCAGGAAGACUACCUGGUUGAUAGGUCAGAGGUGUAAGUGCAGUAAUGUAUUUAGCUUACUGAUACUAAUAGAUCGAGGACUUGACCAA
RNAcentral lists this ribosomal RNA (1553 nucleotides) under human gut metagenome. Its description in RNAcentral is "bacterial LSU rRNA". It matches the Rfam family "Bacterial large subunit ribosomal RNA", at positions 1347 to 2925 of the family's 2925-position model. The record is from RNAcentral.